Long non-coding RNA from Felis catus (domestic cat), 2896 nucleotides. RefSeq lists it as uncharacterized. The transcript is spliced from 3 exons. Lineage: Eukaryota; Metazoa; Chordata; Mammalia; Carnivora; Felidae. The record is from RefSeq and is a predicted model, not a curated record.
UAUUAAAAAAAAAGAAAUUUAAGCAGCCCAAACGAGAUUUUUAGAUUUACAUUAUGUAUACAGUAAAACAAUGGUGGUUUAUUUGUGAAAUAUUACUCAGUUAUUCUUCAAAUUAUUAGUUUUUGAACACUGGCAGGACAUAGGGAACUUUUUGAUGCAUGAAAUUUAUACAUAGAUAACCUGGUACCCUGAAAAUUUAUUAUCAGACUUGGAACCAGAGUGCAGUCCUUCUGAAUUCUGGGGUAUAAUUCUUUCAGCCUUACUCUGGAGUCUACUAGACUUCUCCCACAAUUCCAUGGGACAUGUGAGAUGUCCUGCAGAGAAGCAUCUUCUUUCUCAGUGGAAUUUUAAGAAGACAAUCAGAGGGCAGGGUUAGGUUUUUAUCCUGGAAACUUACUAAAGGGGCAGAGAUCAUAAUUUUUCUGUCAUGAUUUGUAGAACUAAUUUGCUAUAUCCUUUAUGGGGAUUGGAUUAUCCAAUUUACAACUCUACCUGGUUUAUUGCUGAGAUCAUCAGACUUAUGAAUUAAACAUAAUAACAAAGUUGCUUGCUGUGUUCCUUUUAAGGUUGAUGUAACAGACAUCCUCUGAGAUGACAUCUAAUGAUAUUUAUAUAAUCCCUUUUUGUGUAAUCCACAGAGAACUAGUAGGCUUGAUUUAGUGACUUGCUUCUAGUGAAUAGAAUACAGCAAAAGUCAGGGAAUGUCACCUCCAGGUUAUAAAAGAUUGUGGCUUCCAUUUUGGGGAUUUUUUGGCUCUCUCAUUUUCUCCUGAAUCACUUACAGCUUUGGGGAAAUCAGCUGCAAGUCAUGAGGCAGCCCUGUGGAGAGACCUACCUGAGAGCUGAAGAUGCAGUGAAACCUAAAUAAACUAAUUUCCAGAAAGAUGACAAGCCCUUCACAAGAGAGAAGAGUUCCACAGCUGUUCGCAUUUCAGGCCAAGGAGCAGAAGAGGAGGUACCUACCAUAAAAGCAGGGUCACCAGAAGUAUGCUGACCCACACCUCUGCAGUUUCUCAAGACAGCAGUCAUUCCUCACUUGUUCUCAACUGGAGAACUUAAGGUAUGUUUUUUUUUUUUUUUAUGGGGGAUGAGGGCAAUUCUCUUUGUGCCAGUUUCUGUGUAGGUCAAGUAUGGAAGUAAUCUCAUAUUAAUAUAUACACAAAUACACACAUAUGCAUACAUACAUGCAUAUAUGUACAUACAUAUACAUGCAUGUACGUAUAUGUAUAUGUAUAUAAUGCAUAUAUAUGAAACACCUUAAUAAAAAUAGUAUUAUUUGGUGUUUACUAUGUGUGAAACAUAUGACUUAAGUGGAUAACCUUCUCUUAAUAAAUUGACUCAAAACUGUUUUAUAAAUACUUUUACUUUGUGUUAUUCUUUCAAUCACUUCAAUUAGUCACAAGAUUUGCCAUCUGAAAGUUACCAUGUCAGAUUUUGUGAAUCAGUGUAAUACGAUGAAUGUGGCCUAGUUUCUGCCUUCAAGAAGUCUACACUGUAUUUCUCAAGAUAAAACUUCUAAACAAAUACAUAUUGGGCAGAAGGUAAUGAGUUUUGUAAGAAAUAUACACAUUAACUAUUAUAAGACUUUUAUAGAAUAGAGACAUUCUUUCCACAUAAAAAUACAAAGCAAAGAUUUCACAGAGAUGAUGAAAUUUGAUGUGAGCCCUAAGUAAUUUUGGAAAGGAUUUUGAUGGACUUCGUAUAUACCAGGACCUCUACUUUCAGAAACUUACUCAAUGAAUUUGAGCAAAAGAGUAACUUGCUAGAAGGAUAUUGAGAAGCACAGUGAUCUCUAGGAAUGCUAGAGAUCAUGCUACAGUGCAAUACAGCCAGAUGUAAGACCUCCCAAUCAUGUUUUGAGAAUGAGCUCCUGUUCAUGCCACAGUAUACUACUGUCACAGCAACCUUGGGAACACUUUCUUGCUACAACAACCUCUGCCACCAGAGAAAAUUCCUCCUGGUUCUUCUUUUUUGCAUCGAUAUUCACAGAUUAAAAAAGCAGGGACUAUCACGAGUGUCCAUAUUCAUGCUACAAAGGAAAAGAAGAGCAACUAUCUGGCAUCUUUCCAGUGAGAGGAUGGCUGAGCACCUUGCCAAGAUUCCCAGGGGGUUCAGAUGCCCUGUGAUCUAAAGAGUGGCCACAGUUAGUCAAAGGUGGAGGGAGAAUGGAAGAGUAUUCCCUGAAGCACAAAAGGCAUUAGAGAAAGCAUCAAUAUAAAGCUGCCUGCAGUGUCGCCGGAGAAAUGAGCAUCGUGUGGUAUUUCUGCAGUGUAAGAGUCCAUGGAAAGGGUUGGAAGAAGUGAUGGGAAAGCAGAAAAGACUAGAAUGGAAACUAGGUCAGAUUAUAGACCUUGUUAAUUAUCAAGCAAAGGAAUUUGGUGUUUUUUUUAAAUCUGUAAUGGGGAGUCAUGGAGGCUUUGAGCGGGGGAGGGGGGAGAUUUGGCUUGGCGCAUGUAAACCUUAUUGAAAAAGAGAAAUUUAUUUGACACUUGGUUCUUUUUGAUGCUAAUUUCUGCUGUUAGGAUUUGCUUUGUGAAAUGCUUUAGUCUGAAUUUCUAACAAGAUAACUUGGAGAUUUCAUCUUCUUCAAUAUGAUUUUGAUUUUGAAUAAUACAUGAGAAAGAAUGACAUAAAAUCAUUUUCAUAUCCCAUGUCUCAUGAGAUGUUUUAAAAAAGUCCUCAUAGUAAGUGACAUUUCAAAGAAUUUGGCUGGUCUGAAUAUUAGCAGAUGCCCCCCACCCAAAGUAUGACCUAAAAGGGCAUUUCAUCAACUGCUAUAAAUUAUAGUUUUCAUGGGUCUUUUGGUCUCUUGGAAAAUCACUUUGCUAUUUCAUUUUUUCUUUCUUCUCCUCUUCCCUUUUUUCUACCAUUAAAUUAAAUUUGAAUCUGACCACUG